UAACCAACAAUUCUAACAUGGGUUUGAUA
This 29-nucleotide non-coding RNA is filed under the name Rattus norvegicus (Norway rat). The record is from RNAcentral. Lineage: Eukaryota; Metazoa; Chordata; Mammalia; Rodentia; Muridae.